Molecule: ribosomal RNA, 1381 nt
Filed under: synthetic construct
Description: bacterial LSU rRNA
Rfam family: Bacterial large subunit ribosomal RNA
Source: RNAcentral
UCCGGCACUCAUAAGGCUGAGCUGUGAUGGGGAGAGGAAAUUGUUUCCUCGAGUCGUUGAUUUCACACUGCCGAGAAAAGCCUCUAGAUAGAUAACAGGUGCCCGUACCGCAAACCGACACAGGUAGUCAAGAUGAGAAUUCUAAGGUGAGCGAGCGAACUCUCGUUAAGGAACUCGGCAAAAUGACCCCGUAACUUCGGGAGAAGGGGUGCUCUUUAGGGUUCACGCCCAGAAGAGCCGCAGUGAAUAGGCCCAAGCGACUGUUUAUCAAAAACACAGGUCUCUGCUAAACCGUAAGGUGAUGUAUAGGGGCUGACGCCUGCCCGGUGCUGGAAGGUUAAGAGGAGUGGUUAGCUUCUGCGAAGCUACGAAUCGAAGCCCCAGUAAACGGCGGCCGUAACUAUAACGGUCCUAAGGUAGCGAAAUUCCUUGUCGGGUAAGUUCCGACCCGCACGAAAGGCGUAACGAUUUGGGCACUGUCUCAACGAGAGACUCGGUGAAAUCAUAGUACCUGUGAAGAUGCAGGUUACCCGCGACAGGACGGAAAGACCCCGUGGAGCUUUACUGUAGCCUGAUAUUGAAAUUCGGCACAGCUUGUACAGGAUAGGUAGGAGCCUUUGAAACGUGAGCGCUAGCUUACGUGGAGGCGUUGGUGGGAUACUACCCUAGCUGUGUUGGCUUUCUAACCCGCACCACUUAUCGUGGUGGGAGACAGUGUCAGGCGGGCAGUUUGACUGGGGCGGUCGCCUCCUAAAAGGUAACGGAGGCGCUCAAAGGUUCCCUCAGAAUGGUUGGAAAUCAUUCAUAGAGUGUAAAGGCAUAAGGGAGCUUGACUGCGAGACCUACAAGUCGAGCAGGGUCGAAAGACGGACUUAGUGAUCCGGUGGUUCCGCAUGGAAGGGCCAUCGCUCAACGGAUAAAAGCUACCCCGGGGAUAACAGGCUUAUCUCCCCCAAGAGUUCACAUCGACGGGGAGGUUUGGCACCUCGAUGUCGGCUCAUCGCAUCCUGGGGCUGUAGUCGGUCCCAAGGGUUGGGCUGUUCGCCCAUUAAAGCGGUACGCGAGCUGGGUUCAGAACGUCGUGAGACAGUUCGGUCCCUAUCCGUCGUGGGCGUAGGAAAUUUGAGAGGAGCUGUCCUUAGUACGAGAGGACCGGGAUGGACAUACCUCUGGUGUACCAGUUGUCGUGCCAACGGCAUAGCUGGGUAGCUAUGUAUGGACGGGAUAAGUGCUGAAAGCAUCUAAGCAUGAAGCCCCCCUCAAGAUGAGAUUUCCCAACUUCGGUUAUAAGAUCCCUCGAAGAUGACGAGGUUAAUAGGUUCGAGGUGGAAGCGUGGUGACACGUGGAGCUGACGAAUACUAAUCGAUCGAAGACUUAAUC